AGUCACCCUCGAGCUUCGGUGAAAGAAGGAAGGCACUCUGUCUGCCUGUCUGUCUGUCUAACGAAUGAAGGAGAGAAAAAGAGAGAAAGAAAAGAGAAAGAGGUGAAAGAAAAAAAGAAUAAACGUUUGGAAUCACCAGAGUAUAGAGGAUUCAACUCUACAAGGGAACCAAAAUAAAGGAUCGGAAACUAUAGGUGACAGAACAAUAAACGAAUGAAACAAACUAAAGCGAAACGAAAAUAAAAUAGAAAAACAUAAAGAAAAAAAAACAAGAAAAACAAGUAAAUAAGAGAAGAAGAAGAAGAAGAAGAA
Portunus trituberculatus (swimming crab) is the source of this 312-nucleotide long non-coding RNA. RefSeq lists it as uncharacterized. Lineage: Eukaryota; Metazoa; Arthropoda; Malacostraca; Decapoda; Portunidae. The record is from RefSeq and is a predicted model, not a curated record. The transcript is spliced from 2 exons.